RNAcentral lists this transfer RNA (95 nucleotides) under Chloroflexota bacterium. RNAcentral describes it as "Chloroflexi bacterium (groundwater metagenome) tRNA-Sec". It matches the Rfam family "Selenocysteine transfer RNA". Lineage: Bacteria; Bacillati; Chloroflexota. The record is from RNAcentral.
GGGGGUAGAUAGGUCCCGGUGGGCUUCACGGUCUUCAAAAUCGUUGCGAGGCGGUGGUACCGUCUUGGGUGGGUUCGACUCCCAUCUACUCCCGC